Ictidomys tridecemlineatus (thirteen-lined ground squirrel) is the source of this 68-nucleotide non-coding RNA. The record is from Rfam. Lineage: Eukaryota; Metazoa; Chordata; Mammalia; Rodentia; Sciuridae.
GACGCUCCAUGACAGGAAGGACUGAAAUGUCUCUGGGACGCCUGGUCUUUUCUCGAUGUCCUUGCAGC